Molecule: ribosomal RNA, 253 nt
Filed under: uncultured bacterium
Lineage: Bacteria
Description: partial 16S ribosomal RNA
Rfam family: Bacterial small subunit ribosomal RNA
Source: RNAcentral
UACGGAGGGAGCUAGCGUUAUUCGGAAUUACUGGGCGUAAAGCGUACGUAGGCGGCUUUGCAAGUUAGAGGUGAAAGCCUGGAGCUCAACUCCAGAACUGCCUUUAAAACUGCAUCGCUUGAAUCCAGGAGAGGUGAGUGGAAUUCCGAGUGUAGAGGUGAAAUUCGUAGAUAUUCGGAAGAACACCAGUGGCGAAGGCGGCUCACUGGACUGGUAUCGACGCUGAGGCGCGACAGCGUGGGGAGCAAACAGG